AUAGCGGAGAGGAAACACCCGUUCCCAUCCCGAACACGGAAGUUAAGCUCUCCAGCGCCGAUGGUAGUUGGGGCCAGCGCCCCUGCAAGAGUAGGUCGUCGCUAGGC
Molecule: ribosomal RNA, 107 nt
Filed under: Geobacillus thermodenitrificans
Lineage: Bacteria; Bacillati; Bacillota; Bacilli; Caryophanales; Anoxybacillaceae
Source: RNAcentral